This 120-nucleotide ribosomal RNA is filed under the name uncultured bacterium. RNAcentral describes it as "partial 16S ribosomal RNA". It matches the Rfam family "Bacterial small subunit ribosomal RNA", at positions 215 to 334 of the family's 1533-position model. The record is from RNAcentral.
GCGCUCGAGGAGGAGUCCGCGGCCGAUUAGCUAGUUGGCAGGGUAAAAGCCUACCAAGGCUAUGAUCGGUAGCCGGCCUGAGAGGGCACACGGCCACACUGGCACUGAAACACGGGCCAG